GAUGAACGCUGGCGGCGUGCCUAAUACAUGCAAGUCGAGCGAACGGACGAGAAGCUUGCUCCUCUGAUGUUAGCGGCGGACGGGUGAGUAACACGUGGAUAACCUACCUAUAAGACUGGGAUAACUUCGGGAAACCGUAGCUAAUACCGGAUAAUAUUUUGAACCGCAUGGUUCAAAAGUGAAAGACGGUUUUGCUGUCACUUAUAGAUGGAUCCGCGCUGCAUUAGCUAGUUGGUAAGGUAACGGCUUACCAAGGCAACGAUGCAUAGCCGACCUGGGAGGGGUAUGGUCCACACUGGAGCUGAAACAGGGUCCAAAUCCGUAGGGGAGGCAGAAUAGGGGAAUCUUCCGCAUGGGGCGAAAGCCUGACGGGGCAACGCCGCGUGGGUGAGGAAGGUUUCCGAUGCGUAAAACUCUGUUAUUGGGGAAGAACAAUUUGGUAAGAAACUGUGAACAUCUGAACGGAACCUAAUCAAAAAGCACGGGCUAACUACGU
Molecule: ribosomal RNA, 496 nt
Filed under: uncultured bacterium
Lineage: Bacteria
Description: partial 16S ribosomal RNA
Rfam family: Bacterial small subunit ribosomal RNA
Source: RNAcentral